Lysinibacillus sp. BF-4 is the source of this 160-nucleotide non-coding RNA. The record is from Rfam. NCBI's taxonomy places the organism in Bacteria, Bacillati, Bacillota, Bacilli, Caryophanales, Bacillaceae.
AAAACAAUUAUAGCGCCAGUACUAAGGAAAUGAGUAACCUUAGUAGACGAGGAAGAGGUUUAUCGAAUCAUUCGGCGGAUGCCUCUCGGUUAAGCAAUCGUUAGCGCACUGUAAAGCGACUAGGUGACUAGGCGUACAGGUCAGUGACGCACGCAUAUAA